This 484-nucleotide ribosomal RNA is filed under the name uncultured bacterium. RNAcentral's name for it is "bacterial SSU rRNA". It matches the Rfam family "Bacterial small subunit ribosomal RNA", at positions 30 to 507 of the family's 1533-position model. RNAcentral also lists the same sequence under 1 other name. The record is from RNAcentral.
AUUGAACGCUGGCGGCAUGCCUUACACAUGCAAGUCGAACGGCAGCACGGACUUCGGUCUGGUGGCGAGUGGCGAACGGGUGAGUAAUGUAUCGGAACGUACCUUUCAGUGGGGGAUAACGUAGCGAAAGUUACGCUAAUACCGCAUAUUCUGUGAGCAGGAAAGCAGGGGAUCGCAAGACCUUGCGCUGAUUGAGCGGCCGAUAUCAGAUUAGCUAGUUGGUGGGGUAAAGGCCUACCAAGGCUACGAUCUGUAGCGGGUCUGAGAGGAUGAUCCGCCACACUGGAACUGAGACACGGUCCAGACUCCUACGGGAGGCAGCAGUGGGGAAUUUUGGACAAUGGGGGCAACCCUGAUCCAGCCAUGCCGCGUGAGUGAAGAAGGCCUUCGGGUUGUAAAGCUCUUUCGGCCGGGAAGAAAUCGCAUAGGCUAAUACCCUGUGUGGAUGACGGUACCGGAAUAAGAAGCACCGGCUAACUACGUG